ACGUGGUAAGAUGCAUAAGAAAGUUUGGAUUGCCGCCGGUGAUAUCAUCCUUGUCGGACUCCGUGAUUAUCAGGAUGACAAGGCUGAUGUUAUUCUGAAGUAUAUGCCAGAUGAGGCAAGGUUGUUGAAGGCAUACGGAGAGUUACCAGAGAACACUAGGCUCAAUGAGGGUAUUGCUAAUUUGGAUGAAGAAGAUGAGAAUGCCGCUGAUGAUUACAUUGAGUUUGAAGAUGAAGACAUUGACAAAAUCUAAAAUUCCUUAUCUAAACAGUGCUAUCACUGGGGUUUCCUGUUGGCCUCACAAUUAUUUCCUUGGAGCUUGAGUUCAAUACAAAAAGAAAGAGAGACCUUAUAUGUACCAUCUUAAUAUGAUUGAACUUUGUGCACUAGUACUUCUGUAUGAAGAUUUAUGCUUUGGUGAAUUAGAUACAAUAAUAGCCACCUGUUCUCUAUUCUACUCAUGCAACUCUUGAUUUAUUAGAUGCAAUAAUAAUGUGUUGAUAAAUGAAAA
This 511-nucleotide unclassified non-coding RNA is filed under the name Hevea brasiliensis (rubber tree). The record is from RNAcentral. Lineage: Eukaryota; Viridiplantae; Streptophyta; Magnoliopsida; Malpighiales; Euphorbiaceae.